Molecule: ribosomal RNA, 438 nt
Filed under: uncultured bacterium
Lineage: Bacteria
Description: bacterial SSU rRNA
Rfam family: Bacterial small subunit ribosomal RNA
Source: RNAcentral
CAGUGGGGAAUCUUGCGCAAUGCGCGAAAGCGUGACGCAGCAACGCCGCGUGGGGGAAGACGGCCUUCGGGUUGUAAACCCCUUUCAGGAGGGACGAAGGUUCACCGGUUAAUAGCCGUGUGGAUUGACGGUACCUCCACAAGAAGCUCCGGCUAACUACGUGCCAGCAGCCGCGGUAAUACGUAGGGAGCAAGCGUUGUCCGGAAUCAUUGGGCGUAAAGCGCGCGUAGGUGGCCAUGUAAGUCCGCUGUGAAAGUCGAAGGCUCAACCUUCGAAAGCCGGUGGAUACUGCAUGGCUAGAGUACGGAAGAGGCGAGUGGAAUUCCUGGUGUAGCGGUGGAAUGCGCAGAUAUCAGGAGGAACACCAAUAGCGAAGGCAGCUCGCUGGGACGUUACUGACACUGAGGCGCGAAAGCGUGGGGAGCGAACAGGAUUAGA